GCGGAGGAUGCUGGGAGUGGCCCAGGGAGCUCGCUCGCUCGCGGGAGCCCGCGGCCCGGCCCCGCCCGGCCCGUAGUGACGCUGCGGCAGGCUCGCGCAGGGCAGAGGCCGCGGGGCUCUGAGCUCGUUGCGGGGCUCGCGCGCUCGCCCAGGGCCCGGAGCCGCUGGGCCGGAGACAGACGCGCAGCGAGCCCCGCCCCGCCCCCAGCGAACCCCGGCCGGGCAGCGGCGCGCUCGGAGCCGCCCGGCAGCAGAGGCCUGAGGGCGCCUGGCCGGGGCGGAGCCUGGCCGGGCGGCGGCGGCGGCUCCAGCCAUUGUCCGCGUGGAGCCGAGCCCCAGGGCUGAUCACGCAGCGCCGCGCAAGGGGACACGCCUGGCGCCUCUCCCCCGCUCCAAACCGGGGAGAGAGGUUUCCUCGGGCCCCCUCCCCGGGAGAUCCGUCACUCCCUCCGCCUCCGCCCUGGGCCAGGUGUCACGGAAUCGCGGGGCUGGCAGGGCCCUCAGGAGCUCAUCGAGUCCAAUUUUUGCCCCAGAUCCCUAAACGGCCCCCUCCAGCAUUGAACUCACAACCCUGGGUUUAGCAGGCCAGUGCUCAAACCACUGAGCUAUCCCGCCCCCCUAGCUUAUGCAGCCCAGGCACAAAUACACAGGCGUGGAUGCAAACAUCUGACCGUGCCCGCAUCACCCCUACGGAGCCCCCCUUGCUCCGGGCCCAGGGCGUGAGCCUGGGAGGGACGGAGGAGCGUGGUGAGGCAGGGAAGGAGUGGAGAUGGGCAGUGUCCAUCUCUACUGGUGUUAGGCACCAUCUGUGGCUGACGGUAAGUUGUUUGGCUCCCUCACUCUAGUGCGGGGGCAGGGGAAAUACACAAGAGGAGUCAGAAGGAUAGUUGCGCUGCCAUCCGCCCAGAGAUGAAGCCCCUUCCCAACAGGCCCUGGGGUGAUCAAUAUCCACCUCUAAGCCAUGGUGAUCUGGCCUGCAAGGGAGCUCCAGGAUUCACAUGGGCAGCAACAGCCUGGAUAGUUCCAGUCCAAGUGCCAGCCGCAGGGGAAUACAAGGAAAGCACCAUAUGCCUGCUGCAUCUGUGACAGGAAACUUUCCUCUGAUGGCUCUGAAGAGUCUCUGGUUCUUAGCCACAGCUGUGCAUGGGAGCCUGGCAGCCAUGAUUCAGUGCCCCCCUCCUCUACCUUCCCUAUAUGACAUUACUUUCCUCUUUCACUUCAGAAGUGCAUGCCCUCGUCUCUAUACCCAGGCAUUACUCAGAAACACAACCAUCCCGCAGAGAUUCCCAUGUUUUACCUCCCCUUGGAUUUUAUUCUCUUAGCCCAGGCCAAGGCUCUGUGUUCGAAACAGGACAGAUGAGUCAUUUAGUGGGAACGCCAAGCAGCUGCCUCUAGAUUCUGUGGACCUCAAACAAGUGUCAUUAUUUCCAGAGACCACUCCUCAUCCCUAAAGCAAACAAGGAGCUGAAGACAGGUGCACAGAGGAAAAAGCAGAGAGAUUUGGCCACUCAUAUGGCAGGGAGCAGACAGGGAGAGUUUUCUGAAGCUGGAGGGAGAGACAGUUCCUCACGGGAACACACUUAUCACCUUGGAACAGACACCAGGCAUGGAACUGCUCAGAGUCCAAUCUCACAAGGGGGAAGCCAGGGCAGGAAACAGCACAUGAGGCGGGGGGGGGGACAUGACAACCUGCAACACCCCUGACAAUCCUAACUUCUGACUGGAUGAAAAUGAGCCUGACAGCUACCUCUUCCCUGGCUUGGCCAGCAAAUCCUGGUCCCCACACACUGCAAGUUGCUGGAGAGGGUCUCAGAACUGCCUGUCCAAAGACAAAAGCAGAGAAACCCCAAUAGAAAGAAUAACUCCCCUGCCAGCUCCUGGAUAGGGGUCUCACACCCAGUGCAGGGAGUCCUGCGGAGGCAACAUUGCCCCAAGGGGAAUGGAACACUCAGACCACGCGGUAGGGACCCUCCCUCCCUGAUGGGGGUAGCAUGGGCAAGGGCUCUUGGGAAGUCAUUCGCUCUAUUGUUUAUUAGAGGAUACAAGAGAAAAAACAAGCCACAUCCCAUAUCAGCACAUCUGAAGGGAGGGGCCGCACAGUAAUGACCACCUCUGCUCUUUAAAUAUAGACACGGCCACAGACUGAAAUGUGUUUUCUUCCAUCAGCUGUAACUGCACAGCGCAAAGCUGGGCAAAGGAGCCUGGUGACAGGAGUGAUGCUCAGGGCCCACCUUGCUGAAGGAAUCAGAGUGAAAUGGGGAGGGGGAAAGGCUGGGGCCCAAGGGCACAUCUGGGAAAAUCAGAGCCACAGCUCACAUCAGUUACUGCAACACUUUAUUGAUCAGUGUUGUGUACAGCUAGGUACAUGACAAAGUAAAGCCAGCCUGUGGGAAAGCCAUACAAGCAGCAACUUUCCAGACUCGGUCAUGUUUUGCCUACGUCGUCUCACUGGAAUAAGCCAACAAGAAACCAACACAGGUAGGAGACUAUUCCCCCAUCCCCAACUUGUAUCCCUGCCAAUCAUGCCUGUCUUUUAGCAUUAGAUCCAAGAAGCAGCGCCAGUCACUGCAGAAGAGGAAUGGCUCUGAUGCUCCCUCCCUCGAUCAGCUAUGUCCUUGGGCAGCUUAACUAGACACAUUCCCAGCUUCUAUGGGCUGCUUUCCCCCAAACGGAUUCAUUCCUGAGUGCGCUGAUCACACUGGUUACGGUCAGCGAUCAUCCAGCCAGGAAUGCUCACGCACUGCUGGGCCUAAGGGGACCCAGCUACUGACUGUCCUUGCGGCACAGCACCUGGCAAGCACACACCUGGAGCCACCAGCCCAAGUGGAUUAGCAGCAAGGGCCUGCUACACCCAGCAUCUGACAAUGCCAGUUUGCCUCUAGCACCACAUCCCUACUCAAGGAGACAAUCCCUGUAUCCCUUAUUGACGAUGUCAGGUGCACUGGCACCCAGAAACACAGGCUCAUAAGAGAUGUGCCUGGAAACAUCAGCAGGAACAACCUGCCUGCCUGCCACGUAGAAGUCAGCAACCCAAGGCCAAAGCAGGGCAGCUGCUACUCAUCUCUAGACUGGGCAGUUACAUCAAAGAGCAAGGCUCUCAGCACCGUAAGCUGUGUGUACUGCAGAAAGGCUGUUCCCAACACUCAGGCCCUUGCUCCCUCCCAGCCGAAUUUAGCAAUAGGGAUAAGGAUGAAGCCAGCUUCCCACGCCCACACUGACAUGUGGGAACAGUCGACACCCAGAGCAAUCCCCUUAUCAGUUAUACCCAUAGCAAAGACAACCCCACCAGCUUUAAUCUUUUAACUCUCUAAGCACCACACAGGUUGCAGGUUCCACAUUCAGUGCCAGGGAAAUGAGAUGAAGGGAUCGAUGCCAGGUAACCACUGCUAUUUAAAUUGUGUUUGUUUCUGUCUAUCCCCCGCACACGUACCUAUUCAUCUGCAGAUGCUGAGCGAGUCACUCUUAUUCCAUCUAGGAAGGUUAUUUAUACAAUUGCAAAUGACAGGAAAUAGCUAAGGACCUGACCAGCAGCAGCACUGCUCUUCAGACUCCAGAGAAAGGGACAGCAGAGGAGAGGGAAUGUUUGGGGGCAUGGCCGAACUCAAACGAUCACCUGAUGUGGGGGGGGGGGGGGGAGAGAAGGGGGGCUACAUACACACUUUCUGCUCAUGCAGGUUUCCCAUUGGCAAGGGUGCAAGGACGGAAGACUUCUUGUUAUCUGACUGCAACUCGGCACUCCAGGUCUCAGCAGUGUCUGAAAACUACUGCUCUGAUUUCCCUGUGCACGGACCUUCCCUGAUCAUUAUCCCCACCCAGAAACAGCUGGAUUUAGGGCUUAAUGCUGUUCACCCUUUGCACCCAUUUGGUUAGCACCCAUUGGCAGCAAUUCAGGGCAGAGCCUGGCAAGCAACACUGCUCCAAAUGGUGCACUCCACACACUGGCUAACAAGCUUCUCCAGCAGGCGUUUGCUAAACCCAGUGAAGCAUUUGCAUUCCAGGGGUGGCAGCACCUUACUGACAUGGCACAGCCAGCUCACACCUCCUCAGGCGCAGAGGUUUGGGCUGAUGGAGCUUUGCACAGACUGGGGCAAGCUGGCCGUGAGACUGAAUGCCUUGGUGUACAAAGGAAGAUGGGCUACAACUAGAAGGGCCAGUUUAUUAAAGAGAAACCUCACAUCCCAGAGAAUUCAAACACAUUUGGAAAGGGCCCAGCCCGGCUGAGUGGGCCCAUCUUCCACAGCAGCACAGUUCUAAACCCCCCAAGCUUGGGCACCAGCCAGCACCAGGGGGAAGAAAGGAUCCACUAAUACAGCUUAUGAUGCUUGCAAAUAGCCUGAAAGAGUCAGU
Chelonia mydas (Green sea turtle) is the source of this 4347-nucleotide long non-coding RNA. RefSeq lists it as uncharacterized. The record is from RefSeq and is a predicted model, not a curated record. Lineage: Eukaryota; Metazoa; Chordata; Testudines; Cheloniidae. The transcript has 2 exons.